Molecule: ribosomal RNA, 253 nt
Filed under: uncultured bacterium
Lineage: Bacteria
Description: partial 16S ribosomal RNA
Rfam family: Bacterial small subunit ribosomal RNA
Source: RNAcentral
UACGGAGGGGGCAAGCGUUGUUCGGAAUUACUGGGCGUAAAGGGCGCGUAGGCGGAUUAGCGUGUCAGAGGUGAAAGCCCUGGGCUCAACCCAGGAACAGCCUUUGAAACUGUUGAUCUUGAGUGCGAGAGAGGAUGGCGGAAUUCCCAGUGUAGAGGUGAAAUUCGUAGAUAUUGGGAAGAACACCGGUGGCGAAGGCGGCCAUCUGGCUCGUAACUGACGCUGAGGCGCGAAAGCGUGGGGAGCAAACAGG